CCCCUUCCCAAGGGACCGGAAAAUCCCUAUAUUGAGGGUGUCGGGAAACCGACUAUGGCGAUAAACGUGGUGUGGAAUAAGCGUUGCGGACCCGGGGGCAGUGCCCGGCGCCUCCACCAAACCUCUCCGGCGGCCCGCGUUGCGACCGGGGCUCUCUGGGGGCGAUACAGGAUCGACGCGCGUGGUAAAGACAUGGCUUUCGCCCGGCAUGGUACCGCCGUUAUCGGGCCAAACACACAAAUGCCAAUGAUAACGAGGCAUUUGCUGUAGCCGCAUAAGCUGCAGCGGGGUUCGGGGGGCACCUGGCAACAGAAGCCCCCCACU
Molecule: transfer-messenger RNA, 324 nt
Filed under: Alphaproteobacteria bacterium
Lineage: Bacteria; Pseudomonadati; Pseudomonadota; Alphaproteobacteria
Rfam family: Alphaproteobacteria transfer-messenger RNA
About the family: Bacterial tmRNA, also known as 10Sa RNA or SsrA, is named for its dual tRNA and mRNA-like properties. Its role is to liberate the mRNA from a stalled ribosome.
Source: RNAcentral